Helianthus annuus (common sunflower) is the source of this 290-nucleotide long non-coding RNA. RefSeq lists it as uncharacterized. The record is from RefSeq and is a predicted model, not a curated record. Lineage: Eukaryota; Viridiplantae; Streptophyta; Magnoliopsida; Asterales; Asteraceae. The transcript has 4 exons.
ACGGCUUCUCCUUCAUUCCAGGGCUUUGCUGAUUUCAGGCAAUCUAGGGUUUUGUAAGUGGAGAUUCUGGCGAUAUAGGGCUUAAACAAGCUAGGGUUUUGAUGUCGAAGGCACCAAGGGAUCCACAGAUUUGAACAAGGGAUCCACAUAUUUGCUGGAGAAUGGCCGGAAUCAGGUGACUGUCUGUCCAUGAAUCUCUCUGGAAUCAUGUUUCAGAUGAAGGAGUCUUUGCAAGGAGAGGGUAUAAUAUCGAGUCACUUGCUGUUGGUCAAAGUUGUAUCACAACAGAG